GGGCAGUGGCAUAAUCACAGCCACUGCAGCCUUGACCUCUCCAACUUAAGUGAUCCAUCCUGCCUCAGCCUCAUGAGUAGCUGGGAUCACAGGUGUGCACCACCACGCCCAGCUAAAUUUUGCAUUGUUUGUAAAGACGAGGCCUCACUAUGCUAACCACGCUGGUCUCGAACUCCUGGGCUCAAGUGAUCCUCCUGCCUUGGCCUACCAAAGUGUUAGGGUUAGAGAUGUGAGCCACUACACCCAGCUUAUAUGUCCUUUUAUUUCAUAAAAAACAAUUUAAGAUUAUCUGAUAUCAUACAUAUCCCAUAAAUGGUAGUCAUUAAUUUAAAAGUGAAUUUAUAAAGUAAGUCAAGAGAAGUUAAAAUUGCACAUGCAUUUUGUUUCUAAAAGCUGAGAUGUCUAUGCAUUUCCAGGUAUUGUAUAUUUGCAAAUACGUUGGGUUAGAAAUCAUCUUUAACAUUUUGUGUUAGUGUAAUAACAAUAUUAUCUAAUAUUAAUGCUACCAGAAUCCGGUUGCCUUUUCUGUGUAUCAAAAUUUAUCAUACUUUAUCCACUUACACUAGGUGAUUAAACAGAAUCUGCCCAAUUUAUUCUGCAGUAAAAUUAUUUUAAAACCUAUUUUUCCUGCUGACUCUUAGAAACUGCAGAAAGACAAAAACCAGUUUCAUCUCCAGUAAUAGUGUGAAACAAUUUCCUUCCAGUGGGACAGAAAUCUAGACAUAUUAGGGAAAGAUUUAAAUAUAAAGAAAAAUGUUUUGGCUGGAAAAAAAAAAAAAAAAAAAGCAAAACACACCAAAACACAAAAAGGAUUCAUUAAAGCAACAGAACAAAACCUAAUUUGGGACCCUAAAAAUUCUGGCGAUGCCACUGUAAUGAGGUUUCAUUAUCUGCUUCAGAGUAACAGUCUCUGAAAUUGUUAUUCUGCUACAUGCUGUAAAGAACUCCCAAAACUCAAAUGUAUCAGGAAAUGUAGAGGUUAAGUCUGACUACAAGAAGGCCAAAAUUGCACCAGCUUCCUAAGUGAAGAAUAAUAGAAUAAAACAUAGAGAGCAGAAAUAAAAUGAGGUGUAUCUGGAGAAUUUCAUGAUGAGCAUUUAGAUUUAGCAAUGCCCAAUGUCAUGCUGACACUGUUUGUCAUGACCUUGUCUGCAACUAGUAAUUUGGGGUUGUACAUUUUUUAAAUUUAAUUUUGAAUGUUCUUGCAUGUUUAGUACAUCUCUCUGCACUGCUAAAUUGUUUAUCUGCAUAAUAUAACUACACCAAUGUCAUUUAAUGUAUACACUAGUAUAGAAAUGUGUUUUUUUAUUAAGUAAAUGAAGUAUUUGCUGUGAAAAAAUGUAUUAUUUGUGGCCACCAUUUAUAUCUGUGUUCAUUUUCUGUGUGUAUAUGCGUGUGUAUUCGAAUCUCAAUUUUUCUUUUACUCUAGUUUAGAUUAAGACAUAUUUAGAUGAAAUUUUAAAAAUAGCAUUGGAAAUAGGAAACUAAGUUUUGUUGAGUCUCAUUCCCUUGGGGGGAAAUAUGUUUUCAACUGAGUUGUUUGAAAUCAUUCCCUCUGUGUAAAUUUUCCAGACUGAUGUUUCAUUGUAAGAAUAUUACAUUAUAGACCACUUGGCCAUUUCACAAGCAAUUAAUCCAUAGUUUUGGAAGUCCACUUUAAGAGACCUGAAUAUCUUUGUUUUUAAUAAAAUACUUAGAGUUUAACU
Molecule: long non-coding RNA, 1706 nt
Organism: Macaca fascicularis (crab-eating macaque)
Lineage: Eukaryota; Metazoa; Chordata; Mammalia; Primates; Cercopithecidae
Source: Ensembl